RNAcentral lists this ribosomal RNA (253 nucleotides) under uncultured bacterium. Its description in RNAcentral is "partial 16S ribosomal RNA". It matches the Rfam family "Bacterial small subunit ribosomal RNA", at positions 524 to 776 of the family's 1533-position model. The record is from RNAcentral.
UACGAAGGGGGCUAGCGUUGCUCGGAAUCACUGGGCGUAAAGCGCACGUAGGCGGACUCUUAAGUCAGGGGUGAAAUCCUGGAGCUCAACUCCAGAACUGCCUUUGAUACUGAGAGCCUUGAGUUCGGGAGAGGUGAGUGGAACUGCGAGUGUAGAGGUGAAAUUCGUAGAUAUUCGCAAGAACACCAGUGGCGAAGGCGGCUCACUGGCCCGAUACUGACGCUGAGGCACGAAAGCGUGGGGAGCAAACAGG